This 73-nucleotide transfer RNA is filed under the name Gossypium hirsutum (cotton). It matches the Rfam family "tRNA". Rfam says of the family: Transfer RNA (tRNA) molecules are approximately 80 nucleotides in length. Their secondary structure includes four short double-helical elements and three loops (D, anti-codon, and T loops). The record is from Rfam by way of RNAcentral. Lineage: Eukaryota; Viridiplantae; Streptophyta; Magnoliopsida; Malvales; Malvaceae.
GUCAAGAUAGCUCAGUUUGUAGAGCAGAGGACUGGAAAUCCUCAUGUCACCAAUUCAAAUCUAGUUCCUGGCA